This 349-nucleotide ribosomal RNA is filed under the name Triticum aestivum (bread wheat). RNAcentral describes it as "partial small subunit ribosomal RNA". The record is from RNAcentral. Lineage: Eukaryota; Viridiplantae; Streptophyta; Magnoliopsida; Poales; Poaceae.
GCCGCCGCCGCCGCGCUCACGCCCCAAAUUUUCUCCCCCCUUCCCCGAUCCCGCAGCGGCCGCCUCUGCUGCUCCUGCGCAUGGUCGCCGCCGCCUCUGCUGCUCCCGCGCGUGGUCGUCGCGGCCUCUCCUCCCACCUCAGCGUACAACCGCCUCAGCGCCUCUUCCUCUUCAUCUCAGAAGACGGCAUCGAGUGCGGCCGUCCCGUGCUCUCUUUCCCUCCCAGGUCGACCCAGGAGGAGCUCGAGCGGCAGAGCUGGUCCACGGCGCCGUCGUUGUUGGCAGGAGCGUGAGCGCAGACACAGUCGGCUCCCUCCGGCUUUCGUGUCGCCGUCCAUCAACCCGUGAG